AAUGAUAAGCCAAAGCAAGGGAAGUUUGCAACGUAAGACCCUCAGCCCUCAUUUUUAGUCGGCUUUGCGAGUGUACAAUCAUGUUCACCCCGGGGCCUGAAACUCCAUAAUUCAAUUUGCGACGAUUGUACAUCCGCUAAGAAAAGUCCGCAAAUACGUAAAAACGACAUCAAUGGAGAAGUCAACAUACACAUGAGGCCCAGAAAAUAAAUGAACAGCGGACAUUCAUUUUUACCUGGUCAAAAACCUCCACAUCCUUCUCAGUCCGUGCCUGAAGGUGGUCCUCGAAGGUGUUCUGAUCUGGUUCGACAACUUCCAUCACAUCAGUCAACAGCUGUGGCUCCCGUCUGUACUCGGUGGAGGCCUGCAUGCUGCUGUUAUGUGCAAAAAUAAUUACAUUCAGGUUGUUCACCCACCCUUCCUGGUACCAAUCAAGGGACACGUCAGACUUGAGGGUCUGGUUGGUCCAUUCACCAAACCUGGAAGAUGGGAAAGGAAAGCGAU
Molecule: long non-coding RNA, 504 nt
Organism: Oncorhynchus keta (chum salmon)
Lineage: Eukaryota; Metazoa; Chordata; Actinopteri; Salmoniformes; Salmonidae
Exons: 3
Source: RefSeq, a predicted model, not a curated record